GUAUCACAUAGCAUUUUUGCAUCAUCAGACAACAUAACAGCACCUUCUUGAUAGAAGUUCCUGAAAUAAAAGCCACAUGGAUCUAUUAAUGAGAGAUUUGAAGAUGGAGUGCCAAGCAGAAAAAAAAAUUUAUCUGAAAGCCCUAUAGAAGUCAAUCAUCAUUUCUACUCAGCUUUUUCACUUUCAUUAAUCAAAAAUAUGUCAUGAUAUAAAUGAUUAUGUAGAAUAAGAAUCUGAUCAUUCAACAACAGCUUUUGAAUUCAAAAAACCCAAUUAACAAAAGUAAAAGAAAUAUGAUUUAUACAUGCCAAAAGCUAAUGUUAAUUUAAAAUUCAGUAAAAGAAAAGA
This is a long non-coding RNA of Octopus bimaculoides (California two-spot octopus), 348 nucleotides long. Lineage: Eukaryota; Metazoa; Mollusca; Cephalopoda; Octopoda; Octopodidae. The record is from RefSeq and is a predicted model, not a curated record.